RNAcentral lists this ribosomal RNA (253 nucleotides) under uncultured bacterium. RNAcentral describes it as "partial 16S ribosomal RNA". It matches the Rfam family "Bacterial small subunit ribosomal RNA", at positions 524 to 776 of the family's 1533-position model. The record is from RNAcentral.
UACGGAGGGGGCCAGCGUUGUUCGGAAUUACUGGGCGUAAAGGGCGCGUAGGCGGCUGCGCAAGUCGAACGUGAAAUCCCUCGGCUCAACCGGGGAACUGCGUCCGAUACUGCGUGGCUUGAGUCCCGGAGAGGGUAGCGGAAUUCCCAGUGUAGCGGUGAAAUGCGUAGAUAUUGGGAGGAACACCAGUGGCGAAGGCGGCUACCUGGACGGGUACUGACGCUGAGGCGCGAAAGCUAGGGGAGCAAACAGG